AACUUUUAACAACGGAUCUCUUGGUUCUCGCAUCGAUGAAGAACGUAGCAAAGUGCGAUAACUAGUGUGAAUUGCAUAUUCAGUGAAUCAUCGAGUCUUUGAACGCAUCUUGCGCUCAAUGGUAUUCCAUUGAGCACGCCUGUUUCAGUAUCA
This 153-nucleotide ribosomal RNA is filed under the name Mucor irregularis. RNAcentral describes it as "5.8S ribosomal RNA". It matches the Rfam family "5.8S ribosomal RNA". Rfam says of the family: 5.8S ribosomal RNA (5.8S rRNA) is a component of the large subunit of the eukaryotic ribosome. It is transcribed by RNA polymerase I as part of the 45S precursor that also contains 18S and 28S rRNA. Lineage: Eukaryota; Fungi; Mucoromycota; Mucoromycetes; Mucorales; Mucoraceae. The record is from RNAcentral.